This 16766-nucleotide long non-coding RNA is filed under the name Oryza sativa (Asian cultivated rice). RNAcentral's name for it is "long non-coding RNA (OSAT_LNC001326)". Lineage: Eukaryota; Viridiplantae; Streptophyta; Magnoliopsida; Poales; Poaceae. The record is from RNAcentral.
UCUCUCUCGAAAGAAGCAGCGGCGGCGGCGAUUUCGCGGCGAGGCGGCGGCGCGACGGCGCGUGAUGCAGCGCCGCACGCAAGGGGCGGCGCACGCGAGAGGUGGUCGAGCGCGCGGGGAGGCGGCGGCGGCAGGGCGCAGCGGCGACGGCGGCGGAGCGGCGCAGCGACAGCGCGCGGCGGAGAGGCCGCGGCCGGCGGCUCCCCGUGCGGCGGGCUGAUGCCGCACGGUCUGAUGCCGUGUCGGCGCCCACCGUCCCGGUUCUCCUCCGCGCGCAGCCGGGGCCACGGCAGUGAGCCUCGACCUCGCGCGGCCCAUGGGAGGCAGGCGCGAGGCCGGUCCGAGACGACGGCGAGCUGAUGCCACGCGCGGCGACGGCAGCGAGUUCGUCAUAAGGGUAAGUAAAUUUGCUAAUCCGCCGGGCUUUUAGGGUUCUUAUCUGGGGAUUUCUCAAAUUAGGGUUUCGAAAAAUUUGGGGAAAUUGGGGAUUGUUACUAUCCGCUGAAAUUCACCUCCUUCUAAUUGCUACCCAAGCCUAAAUCUAUCCUAAAACGUAAACAUAAACUUAAUAAACCAUGAGCAGUGAUUAAUCGAAACUUAAUCCGAAUAAGACAUGAUUAAUUAACAUCAAUUCUAAUGUAAUUUGCAUCAAAACCGACAUGAAAACGAGGCUUAGAUGCACCUUAUGGCUUCUAAACGGGAUGAUGGGAUCAUUAGGCUAUAGCAGUGGCUCUGAUACCAAAUGUAGAUAUUGCGAUCUACUAAGACAUAAGUGCUAAGCCUAACAUGAUCACCCUAAUGCGGAAUUUAGGAUUACUGACCGUUGUUUGAAGCCAUUGCAAUUGUUCUCGCUUGGUCCGGGGUGGAUGUAGAGGAUGUAGAACCUCGAACCACCUCGCGAAUUGUCGGUGUAGGAGAAGUGGUCGUAGCAGUGAGUACACCGGCUUGAUCCUGAAGAGGUCGCCGGCGAUCACCUGCGGGGUGACGGCGGCCUUCCGGUCGCCACCUACUCUGUCCCGGAACAGCAAUACGAAUCCCUUCCAGCGCAACUAAGAAUCGGGAAAUUAGGGUUUUGGGAUGUCGGGGAGAUUGGAACCGUGAGUGAGAUCGUCAUCUAUCUCACGGGCCGGCCUCCCCUUUUAUUUUUUGCGCUGAGGGAAUCAGGGGCUGCUUCAAAAGGAAACGUUGGAAGCGUUACCGAUUAUUGCGUGUGCAAUUAAGGAAAUUUAAUCGUGAUUUGAUUUAGCUAAUCACGCUGGUUAACGGGUGGAAAACGGUAAUGCGUGAUUUUCUCCCGAUUUCCAUAGCCGAGAAAUUAACUUUCCUAACAACUAUUUCUUUAUUUUACCAUAUUACAUGGAAAUUACCCAUGUUAUAUAAUAUACUCUGAUAUAUCUAUGUAACCAACCAUGUCUCCACGUAGUUUUAUCAUCAUUCAUCAACCAAAUGUAUAAUUUGAACACAUGCCUAAAAGAGAGAUAAUUUGUAACUUACAAUGUAACCUUGAAUUAUUUGGUUAUAUAAAGUUAUACUCCCAACAUCCCAAAAUAUAAGGAGUUUUGGUUGGAUGAGACACAUUCAGAUUCAUAGUAUUAUAAUGUGUCCCAUCCAACCAAAACUCAUAUUUUGAACGGAGGAACUAUUAUAUAGUCAUGAUAAGUUAAAUAUGUGAUUUUACUUGCCAAUAUUUAUGACACUAUUUACCGGUCUCACCAGCAUGUUUUCGUCCAUACGCAUCAACAAAUCUAUGCAUACUUCUUAUUUUUGAAAAAGAAAAGCAUUUGAGAACUUAUGGAUAAAGUUUCAAAAAUUUUAUUUUUCAAGUCAAAUGCAUCCAUCCGCUAAUUUCUUGUGCAUACAAUGUAAUUUACGCAAGUUUUACCCUAAAAGAGUAAAAGGCGUUAGUCUGGUGAUGGUGUCCCGUGUACAGAGCAACUCCAAAAGACAUCAGCGAAAAUUUUGGAGAAAGGUAAGCACACCUACGAGCCACAGAAGUUCUACAGCAAUACGUCUGUCGGAAAGAGGAUAGUAAUGUCAACAACGAACAAAUAGCCAAAUGCAGCUUAGGAAACUGAUAUAAACACCCUGAGUGAACAAGCUAACAACACUAUGCAACGGAUAGUCGGACACAUGACCACCGGAUUGAGAUACUAAAUCAGAGAUGACACAGUGCUGUGACACAGUACUGAAGCUAAAUCGGAGAUGCCAUAGUCCUGUGACGUUGGAUAAAUCUCAACCAUCCAAUGCGCAGCAAACGGUUUAGAUCUAUCACAAUAGUAAAUAAACAGUAAAACUGAAACUAAUAACAAAUUUUGAUUUAGGGGGUGUUUAGCCCCCUCUCUCUCCCAAACACCCCCUUUUAACUUAGCCCCCUCUCUCUCCCAAACACCCCCUUAGUAAGCAGAAUUUUUUUUUUUUUUUUUGCGAGGGAAGGGAAUUAAAUUACUCAGGAAACAUAUCAGUUCUUACAAGAUUUGAGAUAAAAGUGCAAUCACUUUCGCACCAAACCUUACUAAGACUCUCACAUCGGCCCUUAUUUGCCAAGUAGUGGCUAACAGAGUUUUGGCUCCUGUGAAUCUUCCUGAGACGAAUCUCCCUAUUCCCAAAAGCAGCACUCACUAUCUCUCUGAUGAGGUAUGCUAACUCUGACCUCUCUUCCUCCUUGCCCUGGAUCAUCUGCAAAGCCACUUGACAGUCAGAUUCUAUAUAGAAGGGGCACAUCGUCCAUUGAGACGCUAGAACGAUGCCCUCCCUGCACGCUUCCAGUUCUGCUUCAAGUGCACUCUUGCAACCAUUCAGACUUUUGAAGGCUGCAAAGAUCACUCUCCCUUCGCUGUUUCUCAUAACUACGCCGAUCCCACCACUUUCCUGCUGCGCAUCAAAGGAUCCGUCUACAUUAACCUUCAUCCAUCCAGUUUCCGGACAUGACCACAGCAGAUCGCUGGCCACCCUCUGCCUUUUACUCUUUUCCCUGUCCCUGGGAUACAUGUACACUACCUGCUUCCCUUUUGUCAGCUCAGCGGUGGGGUGUUGUCGGAUCAUGAACAGCGACUGUAAAUAGCUUUCCAGGAAUCGUUUGGAAACCUCUACUGGCGGGGGGCUUUUGCCAUGUGUUAGCUCAUUACGAACGAACCAAUUACGCCACAUAAUCAUGAGAGAAACAUCUCGUUCCUCUCCUGACACCAACUGAAGAUGAUCAAAAAACUAAUGUAAAUUGCCACUACACCCAACAGGAACUGAGGAAAUGUUUCCAGCUUUUUGCAUAGCCGACCACAAGUGGCUUGCCAAGGGACAUCGGCAUAGCGCGUGUAUUGUAUCCUCAACUUCUGUACCACAAACUGUGCAGGUGGCAAUGCGCUCCAGCUUGCGCUUCACCUUGUUUUCCAUCGUAGCAAGGCAGUUACUCGCUAUCUUCCAAGCAAAGAUUUUUGACUUUCUGCGGUACAUUGCUUUUCCAAAUUAAAUCCCAAGAAUUUGAGCUGCAUAAGGCCGACGAGCUAGAGCCCUCCUCUAAACAAGAGAGUUUCAGUGCCAAUUGAUAAGCACUCCUCACUGAGAAUCUCCCAUGUUGGUCCGGAUGCCAGGCAACAAAAUCAUCCUCUUCCCUAUGCGGUAAUCGAAUCCUCAUGAUUAAGUCCACAUCUAAGGGAGUAAAGGACAGCUUUAUCUUAGCCUCAUCCCAAGUACCAUUCUCAGUAAUGAGGUCAGAGACCCAUUUUAAUCGACAGUUUUUCUUCUGUGUAAUUGGUCUUCUCGAGUGAUCUCUCUUGGCAGCCAGGGAUCCCGCCAUAUCCAAACAGAUCGUCCAUUACCAACUCUCCAUAUAAUUCCUUCUUUCAGCAGGGAUAAACCAUGUUCUAUGGCCUUCCAAACAGGGGAAGCAUUGCCACCAAAACUUGUGUCUACAAGGGAUCCAUUCGGAAAAUAUUUAGCUUUUAAAACUCUGGAGCACAAACUGUCCGGAUUAGCAAUAAGCCGCCAGGCCUGUAUAGCCAACAGAGCUUGGUUAAACAAUCUGACAUCUCUAAAACCGAGCCCCCCCCCCCCCCUGAACUUUUGGCUUCGUUAGGCUAGCCCAGGAUUUCCAAUGGGUUCUCCUUCUACCAUUAUCUGCCCCCCACCAGAAAUUCCUAGUCAACCUGUUCAGAUCCUCGCAGACCGAUUCAGGUAAUUUGAACAUUCCCAUAACAUAAACCGGUAUGGCUUGAAUAACCGAUUUGAUCAGGACCUCUUUUCCACCACUAGAUAGAAGAUUUUCUCCCCACGAAAUGAUCCUCUUCCAGAUUUUCUCCUGUAAGGUUUGGAACUUACCCUUGUUCAUUCUUCCUUCUGGGGUAGGAAAGCCCAAGUAUUUGUCCUCAAAGGAGGAGUUAACAAUCUGCAGGGUAUGCUUAAUGGCAUCACACACAGCAGACGUAGAGGAACUACCAAACAGAAUGGAACACUUUGCAGGGUUGAUCAACUGUCCAGUCGCCGCUGCAUAUGUUGACAGGGUUUCUUUGAUCACCUUUGCCUGCUGGUUGUCAGAUUUGAAGAAAAGCAAAGUAUCGUCGGCAAAGAGGUGUGAGAUCCCCAGUGCACGGCGACAGAUAUGUACAGGGGUAAUAGCACCCUGAGACACUUUAUACUCCAGCAGUAAAGAUAAUCCAUCAGCCACGAACAAUAACAAGAAUGGGGAUAGAGGAUCACCCUGCCGUAACCCGCGGGAAGGAGCAAAUGUAUCAAGUAAGGUUCCAUUGAAUUUGACAGAGAAUCUCACCGAGGUUAUGCACUCCAUUAUCCAGGAAACCCAACGAUGAGAGAAACCCAACUUAUACAUUGAUUGCUCCAAGAAGGUCCAAUCCACGCGAUUGUAGGCUUUGGACAAAUCCAAUUUGUAAGCACAAGAUGAACUGUUUGGAUUCUUGUUCUUCUGGAUCGAAUGAAAACACUCAAAGGCCAAGAUAGCAUUAUCCGUAAUCAGACGUCCUGGGACAAAUGCACUCUGUGAUUGAGAAACCAGCUCAUCAAGGAUAGGUCUUAAUCUAUUUACCAAGCACUUAGACACAAACUUAUAGAGGACAUUGCAGAGACUUAUGGGACGAAAAUCUUUAACCUCCAUAGGUUGUUCAAUCUUCGGAAUGAGCACUAUAGCAGUGUUGUUCACCCCUGAGGGCAUAACUCCUGUCAGGAAGAAGGUUUUCACCACUCUCACUAUAUCUUCUUUCAACACACCCCAGUUCCUUUCAUAGAAACGAGCUGGAAAACCGUCAGGACCUGGUGCCUUAAGCGGCCCUAUCUGAAAGACAGCUGUGGCAAUUUCUUCCUCAGAAAACUCUCUGCACAGGGAUUCAUUCAUUUCAGGUGUUACUUUCUCCUGGAUGAGGUGUAUUAUCUGUGUGUGAUCUAAGGUACUAUCAGCUGUGUACAUCUCUUGGAAAUACUUGGUAGCCAUAUCCUCCAUCACUGUUGUCGAAUUUUGUACAGUGCCUCCUGAGUCCCUCAGCCUGACAAUUAUAUUCUUUUUCGCCCGCCAAACUGCUUUGCUGUGGAAAAACCGAGUAUUUCUAUCCCCUUCCUUUAGCCAGUUAAUACGGGACCGUUGCAACCAAAGCAUUUCCUCUCUAUAAAGCAUCUCAUUCAAUUUAUCCGAAGCCUGUCGGAUCAAGCGACUCUCAGCAUUUGCCUCCAUCAACGCAGCUAUUUCCUUCCUAUACUUCUCAAUUUGACGACCUAUAUUCUUACACUUCUUCUUACUCCAACUGUGCAGGGCUAGCAUAACUCUUCCCAGGGAAUUAUUUAUAUCCGCCAAAUCAGACUUAUGCCCCUAAGACGACCAUGAUUCGCUGAUCAGUUCUGGUAGCUCUGCCUCAUGUUCCCAGAAAAUUUCAUAGUGCAGGCACUUACGCUUUACUUGGAGACCCAACUCAGAGCUGAAUCUUAACAUAAUUGGAGCAUGAUCUGAGCACGGAGAAGUCAGGUGCUCAACAUGUGAAUUACUAAACAAGGCUCUCCAAUUAUCAUCUGCAACUGCUCUAUCAAGCCGUACUUUUACAUUAUUCCAACCAUGUCUCUUAUUAUCAUACGUGUAUGGAACCCCUUUAAAACCCAGAUCAUGAAGCUCACAGGUUUGCAUGAUAUCACGGAAAUCUUGCAUUUGGUUCUCACUGCGUUGCUUCCGGGAAAAAUGCUCAAAUUGCCACAGGGCUUCAUUAAAGUCGCCCAAGACUAGCCAAGGCAAAGUUGAACUCUGGUGUAUAGUAUAUUUUCUACCCUGGGCUCACCAUACACAAAGGUAGUGUAAUGGAUUCAAAUUUCAGGGAAAAAUUUUUGCGAAAUAUUUUAAGUCAUGUUCUUCUUGAUUCUUCCGUUGGAGUAAUCUCGUUUUUAAUCUCUUGUUUAAUUUGGAUCUAAACUUUAUUUGCAAAAUUUAUCGCUCUCUUUUUAAUUUUAUAAAAACCCCUCUGUUUAUUUUAUUUAAUCUUUAACUUUGGCUCUAAAUUAUAUUUUCUUUAAAACCCUUUGAAUUCUAUUUAAAUUCUUUGACCAAGAUUCAAAAAGUCCACAUCCACUCAUCCCUUAGAUUUCAUCUCCUUUAAAUUCUACUCAAAACCCUCUACACAAAAUUCCUAAGAGUUCCCAUUCGAAUUCUUUAACCAGAAUCCAAAGGUUCACAAAUGACCUCCUUUGAAUUAUCAUCAUCUUUGAAUCCUAUUUUUAAACUCUCUUUGAUUCUAUUUCCUUGAAAUCUAUUCAAUUUCAUCCAUACAAAAUAAUCAAAGAUCCUGUUCUUUUGGGCCAAAAACCCCUUUCUUUUGGCCCAUCCCUUUUUCCUUCCACUUAUUCCUUCUUGGGCUGCCGGCCCAGCCGAGCCGAAGCCCAGCCGAGCCGGCCAACCGAGCCGCUCCUCUUUCUUCCUCCUGUGGGCGCACUUGGCGCACGCACAUGGCGCCGCCGCCGCCCAGCCAGUCCGACGCCGCCACCUUGCCGUGCCGCCCACGCCGUCGCUGCCAAGAAACCACCAUCGACGUCAUCCGCCACCUCACGCCGCCGACGUCAGCCGCCGAACCGAACCGACAUCACCAGCCAAUCAGCGGACAGAGCUGGCGCCGUGCUCCACUUCUCCACGCCGCCGUCGCCGAGUUCUCCUUGUUUUCCUCCUCCGCAACCGUCUUACGCCACCGCCUCUCAUCGCCUAUAAAUAGACGACGAUGCCCUCUAUUUUCCCACACAUCCGAGCUCUCCGAGCUCUUCUUCUCUCUCUCCUGCCAUGACCGACUGAUGCCUGCCACCGGCCGAUCUCCUCCUCUGUUGCUUCCCUGCCUAUUCCCUUUCACCAUAGGCUUUGCCUCACUCCGGUGAUUCCAUUUUUCCUAUUUUCCCCUCUCCUUUAGCCACUUCCACCAGUCACCACCGGCACCACCAUAGCCGGCCGGAGCUGAGCUCUUGUUGUUGCCGUUCCGGCCAUCCUCUUUUCUCCCUAUGUCUUCCACCGACCUUCCCGGAUGCGCAGCGAGCGGGAACACGCUUGGCCGCCGCCGUCGAGGCCGUUCAACCACCGAAGCACCGGCGCCCUGCCCCUCUUCCUCUCUGUUGUUGCUCGGGAGAAGAAACAGAAGGAAGGAGAGAAGAACGGGAGGAAGAAGAAGAGACAUAUGACAAGUGGGCCCUCUGCACAGUAACUUUUCUCUUUUAUUUGAUUUUAAUUCAAUUUCAAUCUUUAGACACCCAUAUCUUUCCAACCACAAAUCUAAUCCCCGUGAACCUUUGAUCGAAAUUCAUCUAAUUUCAAACCCUCCCUUUUGAUACCAAAUUUCCUAUUUUAAAAUUUUAUUUUAAUAUCUUUUUGAUUUAUCCUAAAUCCCUUUAAUUUUAAAUUUCUUAAUUUAUUUAAAAACCUUUUUAAAAUUAAAUUAUCUUUAAAUAUAUUUUCUUUAUUUAUUUAAUUACCUUUUCUUUAUUUCUUUUAAUACCAUUUUUUAAAUUCUAUCUAUUUAAAAACCCUUUUUGAAUUCAAAUUCCUUUGAUUUAUUUAAAUACUUCUUUUUAUUUUUAAACCAUUCUUUAGCCACCAAAAAAGCUGCCGUGGGAACUUUACGCCUUCCAUGGAGAUGUUCGCGUGGCCUUAAACCCCGACGUCGAACCGAAGAUCGUAAAACCCGGCAUAACCUAAUCCUAAGGUCGAAGUGUUGCUCUUCGCACUCCACGCCUCGACGCGUAUAGUUGUCGAAGCCUCACUACUCUUUCGAUCUCGACAACACGCCACACACUAGUCUUUGAGCUACGUGUGAUCCUAGCCGCUCUACUGUCACACACGACUGUAGAGUAACACUAUUCCAUAAACCUGCACCAACCUCUCAACUCCCUAGUCGUUGGGCUGCUUAACUGUAGCAUCGACUAGACGAGCAAAACAUUUAGCCGAUAUGCUGCCCAUCCUUAACAUCGGCUAACCAACUCCACAUAUCUAGCCGUCGUGCUGCCCUAUUCUAGCACCGACUAGAAACCAAAUCCACCAAAUAAACCCCACCUAUCCAAAAUUAUUCUUUAUUUAUUCAAUCUCCAACCUAUAGAAACCAUCACCUCUCUUUUAUUUUCAAAUUAAAACUUCUUUUAAACCCAUUACUUUGUCCUCUCGCCUCGCUCCAAUUUUAUUCCUUGGCUUUAUCGUUUCUUGUAGCAAUUUUGCUUAUAGGCUUUAUUUUCUAUCUUUUUUUGUAUUCGUACGUUAGACCGUACAUCAAGUUCUAUCAGCAUCCAAGGAACUGACGUGGACCCAGAUGGCUACGCUAAAGCCGCAGGAAAUCUUAAGGCGCAAGGCAAGACAUAACUAAAAUUUUGAUCAUAUAGAAACCUUGAUAUAAUCUUCACAUUUAAAUUUGAUACAUGGUAUUUACUCUUUUAACAUCUCAUGGGUAGAUGUUAUACUUCAGAAUAACAUUGCGGUAAUUAUUAAUGCUUUCUAGCAUUGUUACAUGAGGUUAUUGAAAAGGGUGCAUUUGAGAUCAUUUUAUGUGGUUUAUUAUUCAAACAACUUUACAAACUUAGGAAUCCGGUUAAAAUGGGCAUUUAUGAAUUGAGAUUGUGAAUGUUGUGAUUAUGAAUGUUGAUAUAUGAUGAAGUUUGUUGGUGUGGGGAGUUUGGAAAGUUUUGGGUGAUUUAACCGAAUUAUAAUUACCCCCUUAUACCAUGGAAAUAAUAUAGUUGCGUCCAUCCACACGAUCAAGUAAUUGGACUUAGCCUAGUACAUUGUCCCACUAUAUGAAAGACUGUUGGUUGGCUCACUAGGAGCAGGAUUGGGGUGAACGCAUGCGUAAGGAGGUUGGGGGCAUGGUUCACAACGGUGGAACCCGUGAAAGCAGCGACCAUGUAGCCUUGCCUAGGCCUGGCAAGUGCCCGACUGCUAGGACGGAUCAAUAUCCCACUCGUGCAGUAACUAGUAGUAAGUGGGACCUUCGAACGGCUCUGGUGUCCUCAGCCUUGCAAACUGUUAACAUCGUGUGGGUAAAGCUGGACAGUCUCUGCAGAGGUGAAUUAAAUCAUUCGAAUGUGCCGUACUCCCGGUUCUGGAGUUGUGUCAUCAGGGUGAUUCCUACUCCUAAAGUAUAAGUAGUUUUAAAAUUAAAGAGUUGAGGAUAAAAAUGAUUUAUGGUUUUUAUUAUUCUUUUAUUUUAUUAUUGUUUAUUUAUUCAUAUCUAUUUACCCUUAAUUAUUUAUAAUAUGUCUUGCUGAGUACAUAAGUACUCACUCUUGCAUAAUUUGACAUAUGCUAACAAGAAGAUCAGAAGGAAGAAGCAAGGUCUACGGCAUCGACGAGUUUUUCUAGGCUAGUCUACACUCGAGCUUUUGCCUGUGGAUUUUCUUUGGAGUUUAUUAGUUGUAAUUUAGUGAACUAAAAGUUUGGAUUUUUCUUGUAUUUCAAAUAAGGAUAUAUUAGUUUGGAUCUUUUCACCCUUUAACAGUUGUAUAAUUAGCUUGUAUGAACAAACCUGUGUAAAUAAUCGAAAGCUGUUCUGUAUAUCAAUCUGUGCGUGAUCGAAAUCCUGGACGAUCACGAGUGGAUUUUUGGGGCACCAAGCCUAAAUUGGGUGUCCUCACAGGUAGCAUGCCACAUCGGGUCCUCCUGGGAUAAACGAAUAUAAGCAUCAAUGUAUCUCUCAUUCAUUCCUUUUAUUUCAACAUAAACAGACUCAUCCCAAAACAAAGCCAACCCACCACUUAAACCUUCACAACUUACACUAGCACACCCUUUUAACCCUAAUCUAUUCCGAAGCCGACGAACUUUUUCAAACUUUUGUCUCGUCUCACAAAGAAACACAAUUUUGGAACCAGCCUCCCGACCAAGGCACAAAGAUCCCAAACUGUCGUGGGGUUCCCAAUGCCACGACAGUUCCAACUUAAACAACUUAUUGCUCCUGGCGAGUUCCCUUCAUGGAACCCGCCAGUUUACCAGCAGCCCCAGGGCUGGUUGCUUCCGACUCUCCCCCCACCAAAGCUUCCCUGUCUGUCUUCUUGAAUCUUUUGAACUCCCUGCCUUGAAAACCUAUCUCCGGCGCCUGUUUCAGCAUAGCCGCUGGCUCCUGUCCUAGCUCAAUCAACGCCUGUUGAACCCUGCCUGUCUUCUUGAGUCCACUUUGUGCUGGUGUACUCCUCUUUUGGGCUGAUAAGACAUCUUUUGUUGAGACUUCUCCAAAAGAUGCAGCUUGCUGCAAAUUAGCCAUCGCCGGUAUCAUCUCCCCCUUUGAGCUAGGCUCUGAGGAUUUAUUACCUCUGUUGCCCCCUGUUCGCUCAACUUCUGCAGAAACAUUGAGUUUUCUAGCGUGGCUGGCCAACUGUUCAUCCACCAACAUAUCCCCUUCCUUCUCCUUGGUCUCAAAACCAUCACGGGCAUCCACUCUCGGGGGGAUAGCUUCAUCCCAAUGUUCUUCUUGAGGUCUCUUGGAUGAUGAUGAGUUUGCACUUCCAGCACCACGGAAGACCAAUCUGUGAGAGACCUCGGGCUUCUGAGUAGCUUUAACCUUGCCAAUCUUCCUCUCAAAAGGCUUAAGAGGAGAGCAUCUCAGUUCAGCCGAGAAUUGGAACGGUACCUCAUUAUUUGCACCCUUCUUAUCACAUUCCUUAUCUGAGUGGCCGAUAUACCCACACAUAAAGCAGAAGUAUGGGAUCCUUUCAUAGCGAACAUCAAAUCUCUUAAUCUCCUCCUUGCCUUGAACAUGCAUUUUAAUUGCAAUCUUUGGUUUCGGGGGUUUCUUGACAGGCAGGUCCACCCUGAUCCUAAAGAAGUCUCCUCCUUGCCUUGAACAUGCAUUUUAAUUGCAAUCUUUGGUUUCAGGGGUUUCUUGACAGGCAGGUCCACCCUGAUCCUAAAGAAGUCAUGUCUAUUCCUUCCGUCUUCUUCCACAUCCACCUCCCGAACACAACCAAAUCUGCUCCCAUAUAGCUGGCCUCUGGCUUUGGUCAUUAAAACCAAGGGGAGAUCGUAGAUACGAAUCCAGAUCGGUACUGUCUCCAAUGGGAUUUUUGAAGGGCAGGUUAGACCGUCAAAUGCCGCAACCAGCAGGGCAUCUCCCUUAUGCAACCAGGGACCUCCUUGCAGGACGAACUUGUAAUCACCCUCUGUGCUAAAGGUGAUGAUGAACAGGUUGUCUCUCAGGGAUUUGUGUGUCAUAUCAGAACGCAGCCGCCAUGCUCUACUCAUAUCUUCAAAAAGCGCAGUUUGAUUUGGAUUACGUAGAGAGUAGAACCGAGCAAGCACGGUCCAGAUACCAUCCUGCUUGAUCUCUUCAUCCUCUAUAUUCCUCUAUCACAUCUUCCUCAUCUGUUUCGAUCUCUCCCACAGUACAGGCUUCAGGUCCUCUUGACUGACUGCUUGAUUCCUCCUCCCUGCGAGGUCCUAACUUCUGAUUCCCCUGGGACAGUGCCGCCUCCAUGUGAGUAUUUCCUCCCAGCAGAUUACUCCCAGCAGGAUUCGUCGCCGCCAACUCCAAGCCUAACCCUUGAUCUGACAGACUCAACAAGGCAUCCUCAUUCGGCUUCGGGCGGGUAAUCAUCGCAUUGAUGAUCCCUUUAUCGCCCCCACCUAUGGAAGACACCAUAGAUUGGAUCUGGAGAUCUUGACCACGAAACAGGGGUGAACGAGACCUUGACGCUGUUCUCUUUGGAUCUUGUGAAAAUACUGCCUUCAGCCCUCCCUGAUCGUUCCUUAUAAAGGGUUGCCUCUCCGAGUCCCAAUCUUUCACGAGAUCAUACCAAAGGCAACACCACAGAUCAUGACCUAGACCAUAACGAGGAAUAACAGAUUGGAAACCACUAGAACAAAUCCGAUUCUGGUUUGGAAACCUAGGGCUUGUAUAUCCCCACGGAAUUACCCAGGGUAGACGACUUCCUCUGCCCCACGGUGAUUGCAGAACAAACCCUAAUUCAACAUCUAUUCCAAAACCCUGAUCUUUACCCAAAACCGAAGAGGAUCGAGCAGGCGGAACCCCUGCAGACAUCCAGAGCAGAUCGGGGAUGAACCCCAUCCAAAACCAUCGCAAAGUUUGAGUGCAGGCCGCCGCCACCCGAUCGCCCGGGCGUCGCCAGAACCCUAAACCCAUGUGUCCCUGUGAAGGCUGACGUAAUAGAUACUCUAGUAAGCAGAAAUUUAAGUAUAUGGAGCUACAAAUGUUAUUGGAUGAACAAUGCCAUGUUCAGGCAUUCUGCAUGUUAUGGCUGCAUUGGUUGGAGUCCAAGAAUCACGGUUUUCUUGUCAUCAAGUCUAACCAUAAUAUCUCCAUCUGAACAAACAAGCAGUAAGCAUGCAAUAAACAAACCAUAUCCAGGCAAAAUGUUAUAGACAAAUCAUUUGAAAAGAAAUGAACAGGGAAGCGAUCUCUACAAGGGCUGUCAACGAGCCGAGCUCGAGCGAGCUCGUCUGCCUAGGCUCGAGCUCGAUACAAGCUCGAGCCGAGCUCGAGCUGAGCCUAUAAAAUUUUCAAGCUUUCAGACAGGCUUGGCUUGAUCAAGCUCGAGCUCGACUACCGAGCUUGAUUUUUAAGUAAAACAAUAUAUAUUUCAAAGAUAAUCUUUAAAAAAUAAUUAAUUUCUAGUUCAUCAUAUUAAUAGAUGAGGAAAAAAGAAUAAAAUAAAUAUAUGAUGUCAAUAUAAGACAUACAAAUAACAUAUUUGAUCUACUAAUUUAUUAAAUAACAACAAAAAUCAUAUAUUACUAGGCUCAUUGGAAGCUCGAGCUCGGCUCGACAAAGCUCGCGAGCUUAGAGAGAGGCUCGGGCUCGGCUCGUCUGGAGCUCGAGCCGAGCUCGAAUCGAGCCUAGAACAAGCCGAGCUCGAGCAGCUCGCGAGCCUCGAGCUUUUUUGACAGCCGACUACACAUGGGAAUGACACUGCAGCGAUCUAGCUAACACAUUCCUUUUCUUCAGAAAAUGCAGCGGUAUGGAAAGAUAUAGUGUCCAGAAAAGGCAAAAACUACUUUAUUUCUAGUUAAUUCUUUGCUAUAAAUAGACUAUGGCAUGUUGUGCUCAAACAGAAGAGCAAUGAUAUAUUGUGCAAGAAUACAUUUUAUUGGAUGAGUUAUGCAGGAUAUUGUACAGGGGCGAAGCCAGAAUAAAUGAUCGUCGGGGUCAUUACUAAUCAGGGUCUAUGUUUUCAACCAAAACGGAUUGAAAACAACGCAAUUUCGAUGUUCCAACUUGGGACAAAAGUAGAUUUUGAGUGAAAUUUGGAAUAGUUUUUCAAGAAUUCAAAUUUGAAAUUGUAAAAUUAAACCAAAUUAAUAAAAAAAAAUAUCAAAUUUUGGUUAAAAAAAAGCCAUAUUGCUAUAUUUGGAAUCUAAUUUUAAAUCGAAUUGGUGAACCCUGAUACAAUCUGGGUGUUCAGACCUAGCUACGGGAUCUGAACCCUUCCCUCCCAGCACGCAAAAUAGAGCGAGGUUACCACAUAAUUAAUUAAGCAUUAUUAGCUUAUAAAAAACUUGAAAGACAAUAGAUUAAUAAGGUUUUUAAAACAAUUUCCUAUAGAAAUUAUUUUGCAAGGGAAUUUGUAAAGUUAUGAGCCGCUAGCCUUAUGCAUGGUCUCAAAUCUCAAAAACUCAAAGUAUAUGCAUAUUCGGCUGACGUAUAAUCAUAAAUGCUAGGUAAUUUUCUAUUUGUUGCUGCUAGUAUCGUUUCUAGUUGUCAAUUGGAAUUUAACACAACAAUCAACAAUUAAUGUCACCGGGGUCUAAUAUUUGUUUUCACCGGGGUCAUAGCUAGUAAAAUAAAGAGGAUAUGAGAGGUUAAAAUAAAAUCAUCGGGGUCUACUGACCCCGGUAAUUGACUGUACCUUCGCCCCUGAUAUUGUAGACGAGUCCAUGCCACCUUUCUUGUUUACAACGAAUAGGUUACUCCGUAAUUCAAUUUUCUGUUCCCGACUCCUGAGAGAGGAGGGAUCAUUCAAUCAGUAACAUUACAAACUUCAUACACAAAUCUAAAAUAUUAAACAGGGAUUAUUAGCUCUUAAUGUGGAUUUGUCCAAUCUUAUUUGAUCUAAUGGUAAUGUGAUUCUGUUUUACAAAAACCAGUCACCACACAAACAGGACACAUGAAAAAUGCUUAUGAACCAUGACACAAACAUGAAUUCAAGCACUAAAUAUCUCACUUCGCUGAAGCAUAAAGCAAAUUCAGAAAGGCAUGCAGCACAAAAUCCACAAUAAUAUGGCAGAAAGAAUUGUCACCAGAGAAUACAUUACAUAUGAAAAAGCAGAGGCACAAAAUGUGACGAAGUGUGAGCACCUGGACAGAACAGCCCUGGAACAGACUAGUAUACUUCCCAAGUCAAUGGUUGUUCUAAAACCUGCAACUAAACUGGCAGAGUGAGGCGCUAGAGAACAAAUAUAAAAGGUGUCACCAAAAUCUAAAUAAAUGCUACCCUACACAGGCCUGAAUUAGGUACAGAGCCACCAAAAACUCAAAGCAGGAAAUCGAGUGUCAAAGAAACGAAAAUACAUAAACAGAUCAGUAAUGCAGAAUGAUAAACGAGAGAGGCACACAAAGGAAUCACCUUGAACAGAAAAGGCACCGAGCUGGUGGACAAGUCCAGCCUGCAGAACCAUAAGGGUUAAUUACCAGCGGAUGGUAACUGCAACAAUAAGGUACCACACCACGGAUUAGGAAAUAUCAGGCAACUAGCUGCCUCUGCUGAUCAAUAGUUCAUUCUGCAAAGAUAAUGAAAAACUUUGAAAUUAGUAGCAGAACUGUAUUUCGCUAACGAACAAAUGUCAUUCUAUACACAUCAAACAGCAACUCAUGCACUUUACAGAUCAACCAAACUUUUUGCAUUCUCUCUAGUUCUCCUUAAGUUGAUGAAAAAUUGAAGUAAAACUAAUCAUCUGAGAAAUCUUCUCUCCCUAAGAAUCUUAUUUAUCCAACCAAUCUUGUCAUCUAGGCCAGCGAAAUGAACCAUAAAGUCUCCAUCUGAAUAAACCCCUGCACAUUGCACAAUCAAUUGGCAAUGAAAAAAACUUACCGUAAACAAAUUAAAAAAGAACUAAAGCAUGGAACACGGGAAUCUCUACUUGAGUGACUGGCGCUAAAAGUUAUAGAACCACUAAGCUGAGUUGACAAUUUCAAUCUCUUCUGAAAUUAAUGCAGGAAUAGACAACAAUAAAAGGUAUCAUGCAUGUGAAUCAAAAUUUUAUUAACAUUACAAAUAUCAACCACAGCACAAGUAUAAUGUAUCCAAUUCUAAAGUGUAAGAAAAUGAGGUUUUUAAACAAAGGAUUAAGGUUUUAAUCAAAAUUACAAUGUGUAAAUUCUCUUUUAUAACCAAACAGGCAUAAACACCAAAGAAAAUUAGUCAUAAAGCCAAAAGUAUUUUCAAAUUAAAUUAAUUUGGCCAUGGGCACCAGGAGAUUAAGUAGAUAAAUCCAGAUAACUCCUAUAAAUCCCAGUUCUAAAAUCCAUCUAAACCAUAUUAAAUAUGUAAUGUAGAGUGAUUAUGAAAACAAUGAGACCUUUCCAUGUAGUAGAAAGAUGGAAAAUAAGGCGAUGCAUUGAUUUCCAUGUGGGUCUCCAAGGAUAGGAAUUAAAUAAGCACUGCAUUUUUGCAAUCCGAACAUGUUCUUGCAUUUCUUCAGGUGAAAAGUGAUCUAUAAGAUGCUUCAAUGCUGCAUUAUCUCCACUUUUUGUGGAACCAAAUUGUAUGAAGGAUGUAAGGUUCCACCAUGUGUCCAGAAACUUCUCACUCCACUUUGAGCCCCGUAUGAAGAAUACUCCUGCAUAGCAAGGGGUAUGGAUAUAUUACUUCAUGAAGCCAUGAAUGAGGCGUUAUCCCCCUUUUAGUUUGCAAAUCUCUGUUGAUAAGAACAGAAGGAGUAGAAGAUACAAAGAAACAUGAAAAAUGCACAAUUUGAAAUGCAUAUUUGUACUCCCAAAGGGAGUAGCUAUAUUUAUGGCACCAUAUUUUUCACCAAAAAAUAGUUGGUAUGUAUUUACAUUACAAGUCCCUAAAUUACAUAUGUAAUUUUAGUGUAUCUACAAUGUAAGUCCCAAAAUUACAUUGUAAGUGGUGUGUAAGUAGGGUGUAACUACUGUGUAAAUUUGUAUAAAUAUAUAAAUAACUACCUACCUAGCUUGUAGUUGUUGCGCAACAGCACGUGCGAAAGCUACUCACACGAAGCAGCACUAAUCUUGGAAAAAAUCGGACCCCCAUUGUAAUGAGCCAGAAAAAGUGGCGACACAAUUCUAGCAAAGCCGGUCCCCCAUUGCCCCCCAACAACCAUUCAUGCUAAGCAGUGUGAUUCCUAUUUUAACUUG